AGCGGCGGACGGGUGAGUAAUGCUUAGGAAUCUGCCUAUUAGUGGGGGACAACAUUCCGAAAGGAAUGCUAAUACCGCAUACGUCCUACGGGAGAAAGCAGGGGAUCUUCGGACCUUGCGCUAAUAGAUGAGCCUAAGUCGGAUUAGCUAGUUGGUGGGGUAAAGGCCUACCAAGGCGACGAUCUGUAGCGGGUCUGAGAGGAUGAUCCGCCACACUGGGACUGAGACACGGCCCAGACUCCUACGGGAGGCAGCAGUGGGGAAUAUUGGACAAUGGGCGGAAGCCUGAUCCAGCCAUGCCGCGUGUGUGAAGAAGGCCUUAUGGUUGUAAAGCACUUUAAGCGAGGAGGAGGCUACUCUAGUUAAUACCUAGAGAUAGUGGACGUUACUCGCAGAAUAAGCACCGGCUAACUCUGUGCCAGCAGCCGCGGUAAUACAGAGGGUGCGAGCGUUAAUCGGAUUUACUGGGCGUAAAGCGUGCGUAGGCGGCUGAUUAAGUCGGAUGUGAAAUCCCUGAGCUUAACUUAGGAAUUGCAUUCGAUACUGGUCAGCUAGAGUAUGGGAGAGGAUGGUAGAAUUCCAGGUGUAGCGGUGAAAUGCGUAGAGAUCUGGAGGAAUACCGAUGGCGAAGGCAGCCAUCUGGCCUAAUACUGACGCUGAGGUACGAAAGCAUGGGGAGCAAACAGGAUUAGAUACCCUGGUAGUCCAUGCCGUAAACGAUGUCUACUAGCCGUUGGGGCCUUUGAGGCUUUAGUGGCGCAGCUAACGCGAUAAGUAGACCGCCUGGGAGUACGGUCGCAAGACUAAAACUCAAAUGAAUUGACGGGGGCCCGCACAAGCGGUGGAGCAUGUGG
Molecule: ribosomal RNA, 854 nt
Filed under: uncultured bacterium
Lineage: Bacteria
Description: bacterial SSU rRNA
Rfam family: Bacterial small subunit ribosomal RNA
Source: RNAcentral